CACACUUCCUUUCUCCUGUCACAUACAUCACUGUCUAAGUAUUUUGCCUACUUAUUUGCUUAUUGUCUGUCUCCCCACUGGAACCGAAGAUCCUUGAGGGCAGGGUCUUCUCUGUUUGGGUCCCUGCUGGAUCCCAGCGCCCAGGACCAUGCUGGCCUCCCGCGGGUGCCCAGCACACUCUUGCAGGAACAGCUGUCGUGUGAGAUGGGCAGAGUCUGAGACCCACUUCACACGUAAGGUUUCGGAAGCCCCAUGGCUCCUCUGAAGAUCUGCUCUGUAUCAUCCCCAAAUCCUCAUUUGACAAGGUAGAUGCUCUUUUGGAUGGAAGAGGAAGCUGCACUAAGAGUUUCUAGAAGUUUACCUCUGCAGCAACAUUUGGCCCACCAAAGAAAGGCUACCAACGUGAAGACUCUGAACUCAGAGCUGGGAAGAGAUGCACCCACAAGCAUGAACUGACGCAGCUCCGCGGGAGCAGAGCCGGGAAAGGAACCUAGAUUCAGGACUCUGCCCACUGCGCCAGACCACACCUCGCUGUCCUCUUAGCAGAAAUCAUGACCACGCAGUUCAGGGCUGAGCCCCACACUCUGGUGCUUUUGACCACAGCCAGAACGAAAUCAGAAAUCAGACUGAGUCCUUAGGAAUGUGGUAUGACUGGGGAAGCACCUGAGGGCCCAAGCCCCUGCACUUGUGUCCUUUGAGGGGAAAGUGGAAGAGGUGAGAGAAUGAUUCUGAGAACUAUGGGUGGAGUCUUGGCAAACUUCAGAGGCCAAAGAGAAGACAUUUAUGCCAGCUGGCCUUGGACGAUUGUAACCAGAAACGCUGUGGUGGUAUUGUGAUUGGGUGGAAGGCAGAGUGAGGUCAUGCUGGGAGAAGUGGGACAAAGAGGAGGGCAUGCUUCAUCUUUUUUGCAUUUCCUUCAGGGCUAACUUAAGAAAACAGCAAAAAUUAAGUUCACAUGAAAAUCACUUUAAAAAACAAAAGAAGUAUCUGCUAAGAGCCUCCAAAACUCUGGGAUUCUAGAGACAGCUGUUGUUUGGAGACGUUCCCUUGCAAGGAGUUCAGGCCUCUGCUGGUCCUUCCUUGUUCAGCACUCCAGUUCACAGAAUCAUAAAAUUAUAGGGUUUAUUUUAGAGAUGAGAAAAACCUGAGGCCCAGAGAGGUGACAUAAUUUGCCCAAGAUUGCGCCACUAUUUAUUAGGUCAGCAGCAGCUAGAAUUCAAAUUUCCUAGGUCUAGUCUAGCCUUGGAUCUUAAUGUAGAUCCCUAGACAUUAAAAAGUAUGUCUCUAAGUUAUCUUUUGUUAAAAAUUAUUGUAAUAGAAAUGCAUGGCUAUAAUAGAAAAUCUGUAAGGUAUAGAACAUUAAAAAAUGACAAUAAAAAUGACCAUUACGGGGCCAGCCCCUCGGUGUAGUGCUUGGGCUUGGCAUGCUCUGCUUUGGCAGCCCAGGUUCUCAAGUUCAGAUCCCAGACGCAGACCUACACUGCUCGUCAGCCAUGCUGUGGCGGUGACCCACAUAUAAAGUGGAAGAAGAUUGGCACAGGUCUAAUCUUCCUCAGCAAAAAGAAAAAAGAAAAGAAAAGAAAAAAGACCAUUAUGCUGCCACUCAAUCACUGUGAAUCAUGUAUGCUUGCUCCCACCUAGACCAGUGGUUCUCAGCCUCACUGCAUAGUAGUGUCAUCAGGAGGCCUUGUAAAAAUCUCUAUGAAGGGUUGAAAAAUCCCAAUGUCCAGGUUGUACUCCUAAGGAAUUAGAUGAGAAUCUUGGGGUUGGGGGCAGCAAGCAUCAGUAUUAUUUGAAGCUCCUCAGAUGAUGCAAGUGUGCGCCCAAGGUUGAAGACCACUGGACUAGAAUAUUCUCCUCCCAUAUCUUUGCAUAGCUGGCUCCUUCCCAUUGGUCACUUCUCAGUGUUAGCUCCUCAGAGUGGCCUGUCCUCACCACUGCUCCUAAAGCAGUUCCCUCCCAUCCAGUCAUCCUCGAUCCCGACCCUUUUUGAUGUUCUUUGUGGUCUGUAUCAUUAUUUGAAAUUAUCUUAAAUGGAUGCAGGUAUCUGUUUGUUUUCCAUCUCCCUCCUUUAGCAAGUAAGUCCACGGAGGUGGGCCCCUUAACUGUCUUCUUCAUAGCUGUAACCCAAUGCCCUUGCAGUCCCAGGAGCUGGAGGCCCCCGAAACGCAUUUGAUGAAUGAGUGAACGGAUUUAUGGUUACUUCUUCAUCUUUCUUCAUGUGUAUGUAAACAUAUGCAUAUACUUAUAUAUACACAUACACAUGCAACAAAAUUGUGUGUUUUAAAAAUAUAUUUCAGGGACUGGCCUGGUGGUGUAGUGGUUGGGUUCGUGUGCUCCCUUCAGCCGCCCAGGGUUCUCAGGUUCCCAGGCACAGACUUGCACAACGCUCAUCAAGCCAUACUGUGGCGGUGUCCCACAUACAAAAAAGUAGGUGGCAUAGAUGUUAGCUCAGGGACAGUCUUCCUCAAGCAAAAAGAGGAAGAUCGGCAACAGUUGUUAGCUCAGGGCCAAUCUUCUUCACCAGAAAAAAAAUGUAUAUAUAUAAAUAUGUAUACUUCAGAGCCAGCCUUGAUGAUCUAGUGGUUAAAGUUCGGCGUUCUCAUUGUUUUGAUGUCUGGGGUUUGUUUCCUGGUCAUGGAACCACACCACCCGUCUGUUGGUUGCCAUGCUGUGGCAGCAGCUCACAAAGAAGAACUAGAAGGACUUACAACUAGGAUAUACAACCAUGCACUGGGCCUUUGGGGAGAGAAAAAAAAAGAGGAUUGGCAACAGACGUUAGCUUAGGG
This is a long non-coding RNA of Equus caballus (horse), 2789 nucleotides long. Lineage: Eukaryota; Metazoa; Chordata; Mammalia; Perissodactyla; Equidae. The record is from Ensembl.